UGGGCAUUGUGUGUAGAUGAGUGAGAAAACUAAAUAAUUUUAAUCCAUGUUGAAUUCAGGAUGUAACACAACAUAAUGUGGAAUAAGUCGAGGGGUAUGAAUACUUCCUGAAUGCACUGUAGCUAUUUGAUAAUGUCCAUGUGCAUGUGCAAAUAUUAACGCAGACUGGAAUCCGACACGGUUUCAAUGGAACUAUCAAAACAAGUCAGACAAACGUCAACCCUCAACAUGUCAACAGCGCGUAUGGGCACGGUUUAGAUGAGACUCAUCUCUUGACAGUAUGGAAGAUGUUCGCGUCUGCUACCAAGUGCUCCAUAGAGACCUAACAGCUCUGUGUUUGAGGACCGACGCUGGAGACAGGGAGUGAACAUUUAAUAACCAACGGACAGGAACAGAAUACGAACAUCAAACAAAAGAAUAACAGCUUCUGGACAAGGGAAACGUAACCGACAAUAAUGCUGACACGGGGAACCAACUGAGGAACAGAUCGAGGGGCAAUCAACAAACGUGAAGGAGUCCAGACGCAGACGUCAUGUGAUAGAAGGGGCAGGUUUCAUGUUGUGAGGGGAAGCACAGGGAGGGCUCAGUUAUGGAACAACCAGCUACUCCAGUUCAGGAUGUGAGACUACCAAGAGAGUAGAGGCCUGUCUGAUGAUAAUUAUACAGACCUGAGCCCUAGGACCAUGCCUCAGGACUACCUGGCUUGAUGACUCCUUGCUGUCCCCAGUUCACCUGGCCGUGCUGCUGCUCCAGUUCCAACUGUUCUGCCUGCAGCUAUGGAACCCUGACCUGUUCAUCGGACGUGCUACCUGUCCCAGACCUGCUGUUUUCAACUCUCUAGAGGCAGCAGGAGCGGUAGAGAUACUCUCAAAGAUCGGCUAUGAAAAAGCCAACUGACACUUAAUCUUGUGUUACUGACUUGUUGCACCCUCGACAACUACUAUGAUUAUUAUUAUUUGACCAUGCUGGUCAUUUAUGAACAUCUAAACAUCUAGGCCAUGUGCUGUUAUAAUCUCCACCCGGCACAGCCAGAAGAGGACUGGCCACCCCUCAUAGCCUGGUUCCUCUCUAGGUUUCUUCCUAGGUUUUGGCCUUUCUAGGGAGUUUUUCCUAGCCACCGUGCUUCUACACCUGCAUUGCUUGCUGUUUGGGGUUUUAGGCUGGGUUUCUGUACAGCACUUUGAGAUAUCAGCUUAUGUAAGAAGGGCUAUAUAAAUACAUUUGAUUUGAUGAUAAUUAUACAGUAAGUCUAUAGACCUGUCUGAUGAUAAUUAUACAGUAAGUCUAUAGACCUGUCUGACCCCACAUCUCAAGGAGCUGGACCAAAUCUGUGUUAAUUAUGUUUUUAAAUUGUUUAUUUAACCUUUAUUUAACUAGGCAAGUCAGUUACAUCUGGGUUAAUAACUCCAGUGUUACAGUACCACCCAGUAAACAGGACCUGGACUAAAUAUGGGUUAAUAACUCCAGUGUUAGUACCUACCAUUAAACAGCAGGCCAAUAACCUAUUCAUAAAGCCUUUCUCUCUUCAUGAAUCAUCUUCACUAUGGUCUUGAAGGGACAGGAAGGGUCUGUUCAGUGAAUUUCACAGAGAGUAGAAAAGUAGUGCCCUACUUUAUAAA
RNAcentral lists this long non-coding RNA (1619 nucleotides) under Salmo salar (Atlantic salmon). RNAcentral describes it as "lncRNA (ENSSSAG00000111426.1)". The record is from RNAcentral. Lineage: Eukaryota; Metazoa; Chordata; Actinopteri; Salmoniformes; Salmonidae.